This 11854-nucleotide long non-coding RNA is filed under the name Citrus sinensis (sweet orange). The record is from RNAcentral. Lineage: Eukaryota; Viridiplantae; Streptophyta; Magnoliopsida; Sapindales; Rutaceae.
GAGCAGCUAGAGAGCAAUGGGCUCCCUUGCCGCCGCCAUAGAAAUGCCUCAUGCUGUUUGCAUACCGUACCCAGCACAAGGCCACAUAAACCCAAUGCUAAAACUAGCUAAAAUCCUUCACCACAAAGGCUUUCACAUCACCUUUGUUAACACAGAGUUUAAUCACAAACGUUUGCUUAAAUCUCGAGGCCCUGACUCUCUCAAUGGCCUCCCUUCGUUUCGAUUCGAAACGAUACCCGACGGCUUGCCGCCGACGGAUGUCGAUGCCACACAAGACAUACCAUCUCUAUGUUACUCAACCACAAGAACUUGCUUAGCUCCUUUUAAAGAGCUUCUUCAUAAGCUGAAUGAUCCCUCCUCUAAUGUUCCACCGGUCACUUGCAUAGUUUCUGACGGAGUCAUGAGCUUCACCGUUGAUGCAGCUGAAGAGUUGGGUGUCCCGGAAGUGCUUUUCUGGACUACUAGUGCUUGUGGCUUCUUAGCUUACCUUCACUUUCGCCAACUCAUUGACAAGGGCUAUACACCACUCAAAGGUACUUUAAUUUUCCAAGUAUCAAGUUCUGUUUUGGAAGUAAAGUUUCUCUAUGGCCUCCUCGUUUUGAGACAUUAUGGCUUUGGGGUCGACCCCGGUAACAAAGAAGGAAUCCAUAAAAAUUGGGGAUCCGACACCAUCUGCUGUACCGUACAUCCGCCUUGGCCGUACAGCAGAGAUCCCAGAGAAUGAUUCGAUCAUGCGGAUUGGAUCCAAUUUGUGGAAAGAAGAAACAGAGUGCAUUGAUUGGCUGGACACAAAAGAACCCAACUCAGUGGUUUACGUGAAUUUUGGUAGCAUCACUGUCAUGACGGCAAAUCAACUCAUUGAGUUUGCUUGGGGUUUAGCAAACAGCAAGCAAACGUUUAUGUGGGUCAUUAGGCCUGAUCUUGUUGUCGGUGACUCGGCGAUUUUGCCACCCGAGUUUGUGACGGAGACCAAAGAACGUAGCCUCUUGGCAAGUUGGUGUCCUCAAGAACAAGUUUUAAACCACCCUGCCAUUGGAGGAUUCUUAACGCACAGUGGGUGGAAUUCAACGCUGGAAAGUAUAUGUGGCGGCGUUCCAUUGAUUUGCUGGCCAUUUUUUGCGGAGCAACAGACAAAUUGUCGAUACAGUUGCAGAGAAUGGGGCAUUGGGAUGGAGAUUGAUAGUAAUGUUAAGAGAGAGGAAGUUGAAGUACUUGUCAGAGACCUAAUGGUGGGAGAGAAAGGCCAAGAGAUGAAACUGGAAGCUUUGGAAUUGAAGAAGAAGGCAAUAGAGGCAGCUACCGGUCCAGCUGGAUCGUCAUACGUCAAUCUUGAAAAGUUGAUUACACAUGUGCUUCUUUCUCCUACGAAUUAAUUGUUUUCUUUCUUUCUUUCUUUCUUUUUGGGGGGGGCUUAAUUUUCCACUUUGAUGUGACUAUAUAAAUUAAUCUGUCUUGUACUCUUGUAUUAAUUAAUUGGUUUCCAUGUAUUUCUUUAUUAUUAAUAAUUUUAGUUAUCAGGCACCCCAAUUUACUUUCUUAUGUUGUUAUUAUUAUUAUUAGGACAAUAAUUUCAACUCACUCAUCAUAUUAUUAUUAUCAGGCAUCCCAAUUUGACUUUUGACUUAUUAUUUGUUCUUAAGAAAAAAUUGGCAGCGUUGUCAGGUUGAGGAGAUUUUGAUGUAAUAACCAAAAAAAAGAAAAAAGGCUCCUACAAGAUGGCCCCUUUCUGAAGAUACGUCGCGCCUCGCGCGGUAAUCAUUAUCGUCAAUUGCGGAUCAUCUGAUUCAUCUCAUCUUUCGGUUUUGGUUGCAAACAGCAAUUUUCAUAUAAAUUUGGAUGACACGAAAUAAAGUUUAAUUUGUCCCAUUCGUUUCUGUUUUCAUCUCUUUCUAUCAGAAAAUUAUUAUUUUAAUUAUUUAAGAUAUGGAUGUCGAUAUAUAGAAAUUCCACCCACCGUAAUAUAAACUCUGCUGUACCGUACAUCCGCCUUGGCCGUACAGCAGUAACACAGAGUUUAAUCACAAACGUUUGCUUAAAUCUCGAGGCCCUGACUCUCUCAAUGGCCUCCCUUCGUUUCGAUUCGAAACGAUACCCGACGGCUUGCCGCCGACGGAUGUCGAUGCCACACAAGACAUACCAUCUCUAUGUUACUCAACCACAAGAACUUGCUUAGCUCCUUUUAAAGAGCUUCUUCAUAAGCUGAAUGAUCCCUCCUCUAAUGUUCCACCGGUCACUUGCAUAGUUUCUGACGGAGUCAUGAGCUUCACCGUUGAUGCAGCUGAAGAGUUGGGUGUCCCGGAAGUGCUUUUCUGGACUACUAGUGCUUGUGGCUUUUUUUAUAGGCGUGUAUUCAACUACUAUUAUUUAUUAUUAUUAUCAUUAUUUUUUAUAGGCGUGUAUUCAACUACUAUUAUUUAUUAUUAUUAUCAUUAUUGUUGUCGUUGGUGUUGUUGUUAUUGUUGUUGUUGUUGUUGUGAAUGAAAAUUUUAAACAUAAUAGAAUUUUAGGUUUUAUAAUAGGUCUAUCUCUUUAUAUUUAUAUUUACUAGUUUUAUAAUAGAUUUUGAAUUUUAUUUAAUACAUUCAUUUUAAUUCAAAUGAUCAAAUAAUUCUUUAUUGUCUUAGAUAAUUAACAAGAAAAACUAUGAAUAUAAUAUACUAAAAAUAACAUUAUAAGUAUCAUAUAUUAAUGUAAAAAAAUAUGUGUGUUAGUUAUAUUUUAUUUUUCAUGCUUUGUUAAGGUAAAGAUUAUCAUUUCUUUUACUAAUGAAAUACUUUUUUUUUGUAACUUGUCAUGUGUAUAACCAAUAAAAUAUAAUAUUAUUAUUAUUUAUGGGUUAUAUAUGUCAAAAUAUUUUAUUUCAAAUAUUUUAUUUUUGAAAAACAUACACUGCUGUACGGCCAAGGCGGAUGUACGGUACAGCAGUUUUUAUAUAUCUACUCCUUCAAUUAUUGAGAUGUUGGUAUUAUCUAUUGUAGGUAACCUGGAUAGAGCUGGCAAAACGGUUCACUAUGUCAUGUUCUUCUCAUGUCAGUUUCGUACCGUGUUAAUUCAUAUUGACCCAAACAUAGGGAUGACAGAAAUCCUCAUGGGGAUGGAGUCCAUCAGGGAUUUUUCUCAUUCGAGGUGGGUAGGGAGACGAUUUUAUAUCUAAUUUCUUAUUCGGAGAAGGGAGAUAAAUGAGAUUGAAUCCACAUCCUCUCCCCAAUUCCCCAUUUUUAUAAUUUGAUUUUUAAUUCUAUUUUUUUUAGAAAUAAUAAUGAAUAAAUAAUAAAAUCUAAAUUAUAAAAUAUUAAAUAUUAGUAUAAAUAACAAAUAUCAAAAUAUUUAUACAAAUAUACUAUGAAAUUUUCGUGUCCAACUAUAAAAUUGGAGUCCUAAAUUACUAUUUAAUCAUGUCUUAUUCAAAAGGUCUUGGCCCAAAAUUUUUUAUUUUUAACUUUUAUCUAAUAAAAUAAAAACUAAAACAAAAGUUAAAGCUAUAACAUCCAAAUUUUAUCAAGAUAUAUUGUCAAACUUUACUUUUAUUUUAAUAUAUUAAAUCAAAUUUAGAAACUAAAAAUGUAUUGGUUAUUUAGACGUUUUUUGGGGAUCAGAGAUCCUAUUUUUAUUAUUCGAGGAGGGGACGGGAAUUCAUUUUUGAUGGGGACGGAGAGGGAACGGGAUAUUUGCAAAAUAUUGGGGAUUGGUACGGGGAUAUUUUUUUCUGACGGGCAAGCAAUUUAACUGAGGUACCUUAGGUUGUGAGUUAAAAUAAUAUACAAAGUGGCCUGAGUUGGUCAUAUGAGAAAUAAUAGGGGAUAGCUCAACAGAGUCUCAUAGGAGUUAAUUUAGCGAGUUGAUCUAUUGAAAUUUUAAAUCUAUAUAAAAUUUUAUAAAUAAGACAAUAUAUAUGUUUAUCCUUCAAAAAAAUCGAAAAGAGAGAAUUAUGUCUAAUAUUUGAGUUUUAAUGAUUAAAAACUAUAAGUUAGUUUAGAAUAUAGAAUAUAUUUGUGUCAUUGGUCGGGUAAAUGGGUGAAAAACUUUAAUCAUAAGUUUUAAAAACCCUACAUAUGCACAUUUAGUACUCUACAUAUGCACAUUUAGUACUCACUACAUGAAUCACUCAAGUACCCCCUAUUAUUAUUUGGCUAGAAACCAACGCCUAAACUAAAACUUGGAGAGUAAUUGUUUAAUUAAAAUUAAUAUAUAAUUUUGAUAAGAGUUGAGCUAUUGAAACUCAUGUUAAACUCUUUCCACUCCAUUUUUAAUAUUAUUUAAGAGUUAAGUGGUUUUCAUCGAAUCUAGCUCAAAUUUGAUUCGAACAAAUAAAGUUAUAUUUAAAGGGAGCUUGUUCCCAGUUCGGGUCUAGGUGUGUUUUUCUGACGGGCAAGCAAUUUAACUGAGGUACCUUAGGUUGUGAGUUAAAAUAAUAUACAAAGUGACCUGAGUUGGUCAUAUGAGAAAUAAUAGGGGAUAGCUCAACAGAGUCUCAUAGGAGUUAAUUUAGCGAGUUGAUAUGGGGAGACUUACAUAUGAUUAGGUGUAGCUCAAGUGCACUGGAGAGAUAACUGAGGUGAUCUCAUAAAAUACUUAGUGUAACUAAAUUUUAACUUAUUUAUUUACUAACAACGCCACAUUUAUAAAUUUUAAUUUUUUUAUUUAAUAUACAUACAUACGUACGUACGUACAUACAUACAUAUAUGCAUAUAUAUAUAUAUAUAUAUAUAGUGCGGGACAGUCCGGGGAAAUUUUAAAAUCCUACGGUUUUAAUGCUUAAUUUCAUAAUGUUUUAAAAACAAAUUUUCUCGUACUUUAAAAUCUCAUACUUUAACCGAGGUACCUUAGGUUGUGAGUUAAAAUAAUAUACAAAGUGACCUGAGUUGGUCAUAUGAGGAAUAAUAGGGGAUAGCUCAGCAGAGUCUCAUAGGAAUUAAUUUAGCGAGUUGAUCUGGGGAGACUUACAUAUAAUUAGGUGUAGCUCAGGUGCAUUGGAGAGAUAAUUUGAGGUGAUCUCACAAAAUACUUAGUGUAACUAAAUUGUAACUUAUUUAUUUACUAACAACACCAUAUUUAUAAAUUUUAAAUUUUUUUAUUUAAUAUACAUACAUACAUACAUACAUAUAUAUAUAUAGUGCGGGACAGUCCCGGAAAUUUUAAAAUCCUAAGACUUUAACGUUUAAUUUCAUAAUGUUUUAAAAACAAAUUUUCUCGUACUUUAAAAUCUCAUACCAGCGAAUAUUAAUUUAUUGAAGCAAUUCCAUUUUCAAUCCACAAAUUAGAUAUUUUACGGAUCAAUGCUUUAGAUUUUGAAUACCCAUAAGAUGAUGGAAUAAAAACAAACUAAAUAUUGUAAAUUAAUUUGGAUUAAUGCUUUAUAUUUGCUGUUGAUAAAAAAGUUUUUAAUUUUGAAGAAAGAAAUUUAAGAAAUGUGAAAUUUUCAAUUGUGCACAGUAAACCGAAUGCCGUCUUUGUUUGUUUGUUUUUUUUAAUUAUUAAUAUGAUAUGCCAAUAAACUGUUGCUGACUUUCACUUACAUUAGAGGAUGUAACCUUGCUCUUUUAUCUUUUAUAGCUAUUUUAUAAUAAUACAAUUUGUAGGAUUUCUUAAUUUGCAACAUUCCAGUCUACAUGGUUUUUUUUUUCCCUAGGCAACUGUUACCGUAAAAAGAAACAGAAAAAGACAAGCAAAUAGAAACAUUUUUCUUAUAUUCUAAUCCUAGAUGCAAAUACUAUUUGUUCCAUUCAAGGGUUCAAACGUUUAUUGUUUUUUUGAAAAUUAAAAAAAAAAGAAAAGAAAAGUAAAGAAAAGUAAAAGGGAAUGAGAGGUAUGCAUAUGAGUGUUUAGCAAAAGAAUACUGUUUAUGUUUGGUGCGUGGGUUUAACUAAAUAUGUUUUAAUGUUUUAUGUAAUUUUAGUGAACGUAAAAGACGGAAAAUAUCAAGAGUACGUUAUAUCUCUCAAUUUGUUUUUUGAUAUUUCAAUAUUAAAAAGUGCGCCUCCAAUGACAUUAUUUCAAACGAAAUAGAGCCAUUAAUUGGCCGACUCUGAAAAGCCCGAUAUUCUCAAAACAUCAUUAACAUAUUACAAUAAUUGAUGUCGUUUACAUAGAUUUAUUUUAAUAUCCUAGGCUACAAACUGCUUCAACCUUGUUGAUGGGUAUUAAAAUAUUGUAUAAAUUUGACAAGGACACUACAUGGUUAAUGUAAUCCUUACGGAUCAAAAUUUUCUCUUGAUCUGAUCUUUAUUUGAAUAAGUUCUAUUAAUAUGAUUGGUGAUUAAUAAAUUAAAAAAAUAAUUAAAUCUUAAUCAUACAUUAAUACUAAAAUACAGGUGGGACAAAAUCUGUAAAAAAUCAGGAAAGGCCAAAUGGCGCAAAGUGGUAAGUCGCGACAAUAUAUUGACGUUAAAUAGGAAAGGCCAAAUCGGCAGUUGUCCUCGGCGAUGAAAUUAAUAAUGCCUACCUACGCAAAGAAUUUGAAUUCGCACAGGAAACACAUCCAUCCUAACGAAUGCUAGAGACAGUAAUUUUUUUAUGCGCCAAAGGUCAUCAGAACCCACCGUUGCUUUAGCAUUUUUUUUUUUUUUGGGUUUUGUUUAGAAACGUUAUAAUUGUUGGGAAAAUAUGCUCUUUAAAACAUAUGUGUUUAUUUAAUUGUAAUAAACAAUUUUUCUGAUUAAUAAAAUAGAUGAGGUAUUUUAUUUAAAUAUCUUAAUUGCAUUAAUAUUUGUAUUAAAGUCCAUUUAAUCAUAUUAUAUGUAUUUAUGUGAUCACCAUGUGGAUUCACAGAAGAUAUAAAUACAAGUUAUCUUAUGAUUAAAUAAAUUUAGUUCGCAGUUGAUAAAUAAAGUUGGGCACUUUAUUUAGGUAUAGACUGUAAUAAAUUCAUUGAAUGAUUUGUCUUAAUCAUGUAUGAAUUUAUUGAUGUAGUACGACUACAUUGAACAGGAUCACAUAUGAGAUUUAAUUAACUUUGUAAUAACUGUCAGACUUAUUAAAUCUCACUGCUGUACGGCCAAGGCGGAUGUACGGUACAGCAGGGGGAACACUAUCUCAGCUACAUUUUUUUAUUUUUUUUUUAACCUUUCAGAGUUGUGAACAUAUAUCAAUAUUAUCUAACCAUGCAAGAUAUUUAUUUUCGCUUAACCCUCUACAAUACUUCAAUUAUUUUACUCCCUUCUUUACGGUUUAAAGUGAUUUAAUUUGUGUUGGAUUGCAUAUGAGACUCAAAAUUUAUCAAAUACUUCUAAAUUCACCAUCACUUUCGAUUUGACAUACUAUAAUUUUAUUUUGACAUCUGUAAAUUCGCUUCACAGUUUCUACCGUAAAAUAGCUUAAACAGAUGCCACAAGCCAGCCUUCCGUUUCGAGAACCUUCGAGUGUUUCUUUCCGGGCAAGGACUGAAAUGGGAGCCCUACACAUGACCUUCCCAUUGGGCUUUUGGAAACCUUUAAGAGCUUUCAUUUGUCGAGUGCAUAAUGGGCUCACAUUUUGGGCCCUUUUGGGCCUCGGAUCUUAAUUGCAAUCAAAACCCUUUUAAACUCUUGCGAAACCCCGUAAUUUUCUUCGUUGCACUUACUACUAUUAAAAAUUACGAAAAAGGAUAAAACAUUAUAAUAGAGUAAAUCAAAUUUUAAAUAUAUUUUUUAAAAUAAAAAUCUUAUGCAAGAUAACUAGCUAUUUGGGUCAAAAGCCUAAAUAUAUCAUUUAGUGGGAGGCUCCAUUUAAUUAGCUUAUGUGUAAGGGGCCUUAUGUUAUUUUAUAUGGUGGGUCCCCUAUUAAAUGAAAAGUAACGUGAGUUUUAUUUAGGGCAUUAUUUGGAGCCUAGGAUUUUCACUAAAGGGAGAUAUAUAAGGCUUAUUUUCUUUAAAGGAAAAUAGAGAAGCCAUUUUAUACAUAACAGAGAAUAAGAUUUUUCUCUCUAUUGUUGAGAGAAAAAUUUUCUCGUGCUAGUUGCUUUGGUAGUGAUAAAGGCGCCCACACGUCAAGUGCAGAUCGAACCUGAGUCAUAACCUGGAAGAUCAUUGGAGACAGUUCGUGAUCUAACAAGCGUGGUGGUGACGGAUCGUGAUCUAACAGGAGUGGUGGUGGCGGAUCGUGAUCUAGGAGCCUAAAUCACUUCAGCGGAAAAAGCCAACUCGAAUUUUCAAGGUACGAUUUCUAGAAUACAAAUUCUUAUAUAUUAUAUGAGAGCGAUCUUCAAAAGGUUUUAUAAAAAUUUAAAAACCUAAUUUUUCCCCAACAAUAAUUUCAAUAGAAAAACCAAAUUCUGUGAAGGAUAAUUUCAUUUAAAACUCACGAUUUUCCUGUAUAAAAGAAACGAGUCAAUGUCUAGUUAUUUAUAUUAAUUAAUUCUUUUAAUUGGUAAUAUAUCAUUUAAAAUCAUGUAAAACAUUUUGGGAUUCAACUGUCAAUUAAGUAAGGUAUUGUUUGCAUUUAGUAUUGAGAUGUCGUAAUUAAAUUCACAAUUACAACAUCUGUUAUUAAUAUUGCUAUUAAAUAAAUUUGUUUCUUAUUAUAUAAAUUUUUUUAUUUUUUAUUUAUCCAUUUUUUUAUAUUCAAACUAUUAUGUAUUUUUUUUAAUGAGAAUUUCAAUAAGUGUGUUUUAUAAUAUGUCUGUCUCUUUGUAUAUAUAUUUACUAUUCUUAUAAUAUAUUUUGACUUUUAUUGAAUACAUUAAUUUUAAUUCAAACAAUCAAACAUUUCUUGAUUUGCUUAGGUAAUUAACAAGAAAAAAUAUCAAUAUAAUAUACUAAACAUAACAUUAUAAGUAUCAUAUAUUAAUGUAAAAAAUUAAGUGUGUUCAAGGUAUAUUUUAUUUUUCAUUCUUUGUUAAGGUAAACAUUAUCAUUUUUUUUACUAAUGAAAUAAAUUUUUUUGUAACUUGUCAUGUGUUUAACACUAAUAAAUUAUACAUAUUGUUAAUAUUUAUGAGAUUGUAAAUGUCAAAAUAUUAUAUUUCAAAUGUUUUAUUUUUUAAAAACAAACAACUUAACACUUAUAUUCAGAUAUUAAAAAAAAAUGUAAUUCCAAUAUAUGUAUUUAAACCUAUUAAGACUUCACCUAAAUUUAUACCCAAUUAAAUUUCAAACAAAAAAAAAACGCUAUCUAAGACUCAUAAAAUUUAAGUUUCAUAAGCCUAUUUUCAUUUUAUUAUCUAAUAUCACUAUGUUGAUCUAACAUAUAUUCUUAGUUAUCUUUAGUUUAUGAGUCAUAAAAUAUUAUUUUGUUGAUGCUCAAUAACAUUGACAUGAGAAAGUGAUAAGCUGAAUGGAGGUAGGAUGACAUUCUCUAGAGCAAAAUUGUAAUAAGAGAUUGUGAUAUGUAAUAAGUAAUUAGGGGGAUUGUCACUUUCCCCCACUACAGUAAUUAACAUAUACCAUUUACCCCCUUGCUAUUUUUAUAAUAACCAAAAACCUCAUAACAACAUAAGUUUACAACACUACCUUUAUUUUUAAUUACUCUUUUAUGUAUAUUUAUUAUAAAUUAAAUAAAUUACUAUCUUAUAAUAAAUUUUUAUUUGUCAUUCAAAUUUUCUUAUAAUAAUUUUUUUAAUCAUUUUAUAAUAACUUUCUCAUAUAUUUAUUAUAAGAAAAUUUUCACAAAAUAAAUAAGUACAAGAAAAAAAAUUUAUUAUUUUUUUCUCAUAUCAAAACAUAAAUUUCUUGUUUUUAAUGCUUAAUUUUUUAAUUAAUUUCUAUUCAUGUGAUUUAUUUAAUUUAUAAUAAAUAUAAAUAAAAGAGUAGUUGAAAAUAAGGAUAAUAUUAUAAACUUUUGCAGCAUUUGUCACAUGCUGUCAUAAUACAGAGUUCUCGUAGUGAAAAAUUAACAUAGCAGACAACCACGGAUCUUGGCAAUCCACCAACGGCUCACAUCGGACCUUGGUAAUCGGUUAAGGGCUCACCUCUUAUUAUCAUUAGUUUCUCUUUUCCGAUUUUUUAAAAAUUAAAAAAAAAAUCCGUUUACCUAUUCACAGACAUCCGAUAAAAUUGGAACGGGACAGAGAAAAUUAGCAUGGCCCCUACGCAAUGGCGGUGCCAGAAAUUAUUUGUAGGGGGGCCUAAAUUCACAUAUUAAUUUAACUCGAGAAAGUAGUCAACAAAUAACAUAUAUCAAAAUAAAAAUUCAUUAAAGUAUUUAAUUCAACACACUUAUAACUGUCCUCAGCGAUAUUUCAUAUGUUGAAAAUGUUGAAGAAUAACCUCAUUGUCAAGACUACAAAAUACAUCCUUUUCUAUGAAUACAACAAGACUAUCAUUCAACCAUUGAUCUCCUAUUUGAUUUCGCAGACGAUUUUUCACAAAAUUUAUAGUCAAAAAUGCCCUUUCUACUGUAGCUGUGGCAACCGGUAAAUAAACUAAUGAAUAUAAUUGAUCAUUUUUAGUCUCAACCAAUUUUUCUAGCUAGCUCACCAAUCCCUUUCAAUCCUAAAAAUUUCUUGUCAGAAUCUACAUCCAUAAAAUAAAUAUCAAGUUGAGUUUCAAGUGCCACAAGAUCUAUUAGAGAAAAAUCAUUUGGAUAAAACUCAGUAAGGCGAAGUAGUUUCUGUUUAUCAAAAGUUGCAAAUGAGUCAUUGGAAUAUAGACAUGCCACACAAAGAAACAACUCAAUAUUGGUUUCGUUGAAACGAUUGCUUAAUUCUUGAAGUUGCAUGUCCAAGAUGAAUUUAAUUUUUUUAAAAAUUCUAGGGGGGCUCAACUUUCAAGUGGCGCCGCCCCUGCCUCUACGCAAGGAUGACACGCACAAAUAAAAAAAUGGUUAUUUUAUCUACAACUUGAAUAUUAUCAGUUAUCUUUUAAUUAACUAAUUAUUUAUUUAUUAUUAUAUUAAAUUAUAUUAAUGGUUAUUUUAUCUACAACUUGAAUAUUAUCAGUUAUCUUUUAAUUAACUAAUUAUUUAUAUAUUAUUAUAUUAAAUUAUAUUAAAUUAUAUUAAAUAAAUAGUUAAAAUUAAAAUACUUAAAUUUAAAUUUAAGAGUGUACAACAAUUUCCACAAUUAAUAUUAUAAAAAUCCAUACAGCAUCAUACAAAAAUUCUCAGUCGGCAACUCAAAGACGAACCCUCUAUAAAAUUAAUAUAUGAAGAUAUAUCCUGGAAACCUACGGCAUAUAAUAUAUCUGUUAUUUUCACUUUACGGUUUAGUGUAGAAGUUCAUCUUUGAUGUAAACAAGAAAAAAAGGUCACGUGAGUAAAUGAAUUCAAAAGAUUAGGCGGCAGCCUAGUUUAAAUUUAUAUAUAAUUUUACCGGUCUUUCGAGCAGUGUUGGCUACAGAUCUCUUAUAAAUUGUUUUAGGAAAUUGUUACGGUACAUUGUACCUAAGCUAUACAUGUGUUAGUGAUGGUAACUGUAAAAUUGAAGUACCAUAUAUGAUAACAUAUGAUAAUAAGUUCCAUAAUUUUAGGCGUGAAAUUUUCAGUUUAGUAUUCAUUUGAUUUUUAGGCUUUCACAUUGACAAAGCCGAAAUAAUGCUUUCACAUUGACAAAGCCGAAAAAAAAAAUAAUAAUUGACACCGGCAUGUUUUGGCGGGCUAUAAAAGCGGGGAGCAUGCAAUCUCUCACAAAUUACCAUUUAGUUUUAUUACAAGAGCAGCUAGAGAGCAAUGGGCUCCCUUGCCGCCGCCAUAGAAAUGCCUCAUGCUGUUUGCAUACCGUACCCAGCACAAGGCCACAUAAACCCAAUGCUAAAACUAGCUAAAAUCCUUCACCACAAAGGCUUUCACAUCACCUUUGUUAACACAGAGUUUAAUCACAAACGUUUGCUUAAAUCUCGAGGCCCUGACUCUCUCAAUGGCCUCCCUUCGUUUCGAUUCGAAACGAUACCCGACGGCUUGCCGCCGACGGAUGUCGAUGCCACACAAGACAUACCAUCUCUAU